Small nuclear RNA from Cornus florida, 161 nucleotides. RefSeq annotates it as U1 spliceosomal RNA. NCBI's taxonomy places the organism in Eukaryota, Viridiplantae, Streptophyta, Magnoliopsida, Cornales, Cornaceae. The record is from RefSeq and is a predicted model, not a curated record. The transcript has a single exon.
AUACUUAUCUGAACGGGGCCAAUGGGUCUUCAAGAUGGCCCAUAGCCUAGAUUGGUGACCUCCAUUGCACUUAGGAGGGGUGUCCAUCUAAAGUCUACCCAAGUGGUGGAGCCUACGUUAUAAUUUGUGAUAGUGGGGGCCUGCGUUCGCGCGGCCCCUUC